Molecule: small RNA, 980 nt
Filed under: Pan troglodytes (chimpanzee)
Lineage: Eukaryota; Metazoa; Chordata; Mammalia; Primates; Hominidae
Description: retained intron
Source: RNAcentral
CCGACCUGGACUGCAGCCCAUAGCGGAGGGGCAGUCCGAGGAGGGCCGGGCUGUCAGCCCAGCGGCUGGCGAGGAGGCCCCAGCCGCGAAGGAGCCGGGCGCGCAGGCCGGCCUGGAGGUCCGUAGUUCGUGGUCCUUCGCCGGUGUCCCCGGAGCCCAGCGGCUGUGGAUGGCAGAAGCCCAGAGUGGGACUGGUCAGCUGCAGGAGCAGAAGAAAGGUCUUCUGAUAGCCGUCAGCGCCUCCGUUGAUAAAAUCAUCUCGCAUUUCGGGGCCGCCCGGAACUUGGUGCAGAAGGUGAAGGUGGCUGGGGGGAGGCUGUUGGGAUGAGGAGAGUAAUGGAGCUCCGCGGGGGGUGCGGGAAUGGUUGGCGGGAGGUGGCUGGAGGGAUCUCUGGAGCCAUCGGCAUCGCGCCACCUCCAGGCCCAGUUGGGUGAUAGCCGGCUGAGCCCGGAUGUGGGGCACCUGGUGCUGACCACCCUCUGCCCGGCCCUCCACGCCCUGGUGGCGGACGGGCUGAAGCCUUUCCGGAAGGACCUCAUCACCGGGCAGCGCAGGAGCAGCCCCUGGAGCGUGGUGGAGGCGUCGGUGAAGCCAGGUGAGCCAGGAGGGCGUGGGACCCGGCAGUGCGCAGGGCAGGGCCGGGCUUGGCUGACUGCACCCCACGUUCUCAGGCUCCAGCACCCGCUCCCUUGGAACCCUGUAUAGCCAGGUCAGCCGUCUAGCCCCGCUGAGCAGCAGCCGUAGCCGCUUCCAUGCCUUUAUCCUGGGCCUCCUCAACACCAAGCAGUUGGAGCUGUGGUUUUCCAGUCUCCAGGAAGAUGCAGGCCUGCUCUCCCUCCUGUACCUGCCAACAGGAUUUUUCUCCCUGGCCCGCGGUGGCUGUCCCUCCCUGUCCACAGAGCUGCUGCUCCUGCUGCAGCCAUUGUCGGUGCUCACUUUCCACCUGGACCUGCUCUUUGAGCACCACCACCACCUGCCC